Molecule: ribosomal RNA, 346 nt
Filed under: uncultured eukaryote
Lineage: Eukaryota
Description: SSU rRNA
Rfam family: Eukaryotic small subunit ribosomal RNA
Source: RNAcentral
AUAGCGUAUAUUAAAGUUGUUGAGGUUAAAAAGCUCGUAGUUGAACCUUGGGCCUAGCCGGCCGGUCCGCCUCACCGCGUGCACUGGCUCGGCUGGGCCUUUCCUUCUGGAGAACCGCAUGCCCUUCACUGGGUGUGCUGGGGAACCAGGACUUUUACUCUGAAUAAAUUAGAUCGCUUAAAGAAGGCCUAUGCUCGAAUACAUUAGCAUGGAAUAAUAAAAUAGGACGUGUGGUUCUUUUUUGUUGGUUUCUAGAACCGCCGUAAUGAUUAAUAGGGACAGUCGGGGGCAUCAGUAUUCAAUUGUCAGAGGUGAAAUUCUUGGAUUUAUUGAAGACUAACUACUG